UAGGUAAUCUUCCGCAAUGGACGAAAGUCUGACGGAGCAACGCCGCGUGAGUGAAGAAGGAUUUCGGUUCGUAAAACUCUGUUGUUAGGGAAGAAAAAAUGUAUAGUAACUAUAUACAAAAGAGACGGUACCUAACCAGAAAGCCACGGCUAACUACGUGCCAGCAGCCGCGGUAAUACGUAGGUGGCAAGCGUUGUCCGGAAUUAUUGGGCGUAAAGCGCGCGCAGGUGGUUUAGAAAGUCUGAUGUGAAAGCCCACGGCUCAACCGUGGAGGGUCAUUGGAAACAAAUAAACUUGAGUGCAGGAGAGAAAAGUGGAAGUCAUAGUGUAGCGGUGAGAGGCGUACGGAUUAGGAGGAACACCGGUGGCGAAAGCGGCUUUUCGGCCUGCAACUGACACUGAGGCGCGAAAGCGUGGGGAGCAAACAGG
RNAcentral lists this ribosomal RNA (429 nucleotides) under Verrucomicrobiota bacterium. RNAcentral describes it as "Verrucomicrobia bacterium partial 16S ribosomal RNA". It matches the Rfam family "Bacterial small subunit ribosomal RNA", at positions 355 to 776 of the family's 1533-position model. Lineage: Bacteria; Pseudomonadati; Verrucomicrobiota. The record is from RNAcentral.